RNAcentral lists this ribosomal RNA (301 nucleotides) under uncultured bacterium. RNAcentral's name for it is "bacterial SSU rRNA". It matches the Rfam family "Bacterial small subunit ribosomal RNA", at positions 399 to 691 of the family's 1533-position model. The record is from RNAcentral.
GCGUGAGUGAAGAAGGCCCUCGGGUCGUAAAGCUCUGUCAGAGGGGAAGAACUCCCUGUCGGAUAAUACCCGGCAGGACUGACGGUACCCUCAAAGGAAGCACCGGCUAACUCCGUGCCAGCAGCCGCGGUAAUACGGAGGGUGCGAGCGUUGUUCGGAAUUAUUGGGCGUAAAGCGCGUGUAGGCGGCUUGGUAAGUCUGAUGUGAAAGCCCGGGGCUUAACUCCGGAAGUGCAUUGGAAACUGCCUGGCUUGAGUACGGGAGAGGAAAGUGGAAUUCCGAGUGUAGGGGUGAAAUCCGU